Molecule: long non-coding RNA, 381 nt
Filed under: Zostera marina
Lineage: Eukaryota; Viridiplantae; Streptophyta; Magnoliopsida; Alismatales; Zosteraceae
Description: long non-coding RNA (ZMAR_LNC003540)
Source: RNAcentral
GUCAAACUCGUCUCCUUCCAAAUCCCAAUUCGAUAACUUCUCUCCCCCCAAAUCGAUCACCACUCCUCCCAAAUCGAUCUCCUCUUCUAUCCAUAAUUUCAAUGCCUUACUAUGAGGUUAGGUAUGGUUAUUGCUCGGACAACUAGAAUGUGGAGCUUGUGGUUAGGUAUGAUCUGAUUUUCUUAUUUUUUCUCGGUUGUGCUCCAAUUUGAUUUUCUUAAUUUAUUCAUCGUCAAUACUUGAUAGAAGCUCUCUCUUCUCAUAUUAUUUUUUUGUUAUCGUUUUGUGGUUAAGGUUUGCUAAGUUUUUUGCUGAGGAUUUGGUAGAGUUUCCUGUAAAGUGUAGACAAAGUCUUUUUUUGGAGGUCUGUUCUUGCCAAGG